AGAGCCGCAAGUCAGUCGUGAAGAGGGAGCUCUAUCGCCACCAUGAGUUUCUCCGGCAAGUACCAACUGCAGAGCCAGGAAAACUUUGAAGCCUUCAUGAAGGCAAUCGGUCUGCCAGAAGAGCUCAUCCAGAAGGGGAAGGAUAUCAAGGGGGUGUCGGAAAUCAUGCAGAAUGGGAAGCACUUCAAGUUCACCAUCACCACUGGGUCCAAAGUGAUCCAAAACGAAUUCACCGUGGGGGAGGAAUGUGAGCUGGAGACAAUGACAGGGGAGAAAGUCAAGGUAGGAGGACAUUCCUUCUGCUGAACUUUCCUUGGAACCUGGCCCUGGGACCUCAUUCCUCAAGGCUCAAACCUCACAAUUCCACCCACAGAUACCGUCUCUGAACCCACCUCCCAUGUGGGAGAAGCAGAGAGACAAAGGCAGCUCUUAGGGAAGAAUCUUAUAGGGAAGCUGCUCUCCUCUUCCCAGGGACUGUCUGGGGGGUGUUCCAGCCCCUAAAGUCUGAGCUCUCCCAUAUGGAGGAUAUGGGGGAACCAGGC
RNAcentral lists this small RNA (542 nucleotides) under Pongo abelii (Sumatran orangutan). RNAcentral describes it as "retained intron". Lineage: Eukaryota; Metazoa; Chordata; Mammalia; Primates; Hominidae. The record is from RNAcentral.